RNAcentral lists this ribosomal RNA (377 nucleotides) under uncultured bacterium. RNAcentral describes it as "bacterial SSU rRNA". It matches the Rfam family "Bacterial small subunit ribosomal RNA", at positions 523 to 898 of the family's 1533-position model. The record is from RNAcentral.
AUACAGAGGGUGCAAGCGUUGUUCGGAAUUACUGGGCGUAAAGCGCGCGCAGGCGGGAUGGCAAGUCGGAUGUGAAAGCCCUUGGCUCAACCAAGGAAGUGCAUUCGAAACUGCUGUUCUUGAGUGUCGGAGAGGGUGGCGGAAUUCCCGGUGUAGAGGUGAAAUUCGUAGAUAUCGGGAGGAACACCAGUGGCGAAGGCGGCCACCUGGACGAACACUGACGCUGAGGCGCGAAAGCGUGGGGAGCAAACAGGAUUAGAUACCCUGGUAGUCCACGCCGUAAACGAUGAGUGCUAGCUGUUGCGGGAGUUGACCCCUGCAGUGGCGAAGCCAACGCAUUAAGCACUCCGCCUGGGGAGUACGGCCGCAAGGCUAAA